This 252-nucleotide ribosomal RNA is filed under the name uncultured bacterium. RNAcentral's name for it is "partial 16S ribosomal RNA". It matches the Rfam family "Bacterial small subunit ribosomal RNA", at positions 524 to 776 of the family's 1533-position model. The record is from RNAcentral.
UACAGAGGGUGCGAGCGUUGUUCGGAAUUAUUGGGCGUAAAGGGCGCGUAGGCGGUGCGGUAAGUCACCUGUGAAAUCUCCUGGCUCAACUGGGAGCUUGCAGGCGAAACUGCCGUGCUGGAGUGUGGGAGAGGUGCGUGGAAUUCCUGGUGUAGCGGUGGAAUGCGCAGAUAUCAGGAGGAACACCGGUGGCGAAGGCGGGAUCCUGGGCCAGUACUGACGCUGAGGAGCGAAAGCGUGGGAGCAAACAGG